UUCCUGACAUGUCUGCUAGCAUUCAGAUGAAGACGUCUACAUUUUCCUACAAAAAGGAGGUUAGUUAGUCUUUUAUUAGCUAAUCCAAAUUUGACCCUAUCUAGACUGUGUGCUCCUGAUUUUCAUGUGCCAAAGAGAUUGAGAUGAGAUCCUCGAUUGGUUCCCUACAUUCCUCGAUGAGCUUAUUAUGGGUGUCGAGUCC
RNAcentral lists this long non-coding RNA (202 nucleotides) under Elaeis guineensis (African oil palm). RNAcentral describes it as "long non-coding RNA (EGUI_LNC068686)". Lineage: Eukaryota; Viridiplantae; Streptophyta; Magnoliopsida; Arecales; Arecaceae. The record is from RNAcentral.